UAAAAUCUAUCCUGGUAGGGGAGGGUGUUGAGUAUGAACCUUGUUAAGAAAUUAAACCGCAUGUAUUUAUUCAAGAAGCUCCCGAGAAGGUCAACAAGUGACGGUCAGCUCUCAGCUGUCACUUCCUUUGUUAACAUCGAAGAACUCUGCUUUUUAUCCUCCUUCCCAUCUUCUGGUCAUUUUUCUGCUCAUUAGCUACUUGGGCUUAGGGUGGGCAAGAAAUAAGAUGGAAUUUUAAGCCUGUCAAGUUGAAGUCUAGUUAAUAGCCAAGUGGAGGUAAAAUGGGUGGAGAAAGGGACAUGAAUUCUAUGCUGGGGAGAAACAGUAGCUGUGGCAGAAAAAUUAGCCUAGACUUACUUUUCUUUCCCCGAUGUUAGUGAUUGCCCGUGACACAACCCCCCAUAUCUGCUAUGGUGGCAUCUGAUUUUUCAAGAUACAGAGUCAAAGAUACCAGAGUUACAAGAUUUUCUUCUAUCAACCAAACCUCUCGGUUUAUAGAUAAGAAAAUGAAGACUUGGGCCGGGCGCAGUGGCUCAAGCCUGUAAUCCCAGCACUUUGGGAGGCUGAGGUUGGUGGAUUACGAGGACAAGAGAUUGAGUUCAUCCUGGCCAACAUGGUGAAACCCUGCCUCUACU
Long non-coding RNA from Sapajus apella (tufted capuchin), 635 nucleotides. RefSeq lists it as uncharacterized. The record is from RefSeq and is a predicted model, not a curated record. NCBI's taxonomy places the organism in Eukaryota, Metazoa, Chordata, Mammalia, Primates, Cebidae. The transcript is spliced from 2 exons.